UACGUAGGUGGCAAGCGUUGUCCGGAUUUACUGGGCGUAAAGAGCGCGCAGGCGGUCGUUCAAGUCGCGUGUGAAAGCCCCCGGCUCAACUGGGGAGGGUCACGCGAUACUGAUCGACUCGAAGGCAGGAGAGGGUAGUGGAAUUCCCGGUGUAGUGGUGAAAUGCGUAGAUAUCGGGAGGAACACCAGUGGCGAAGGCGACUACCUGGCCUGUUCUUGACGCUAAGGCGCGAAAGCUAGGGGAGCAAACGGG
Molecule: ribosomal RNA, 253 nt
Filed under: uncultured bacterium
Lineage: Bacteria
Description: partial 16S ribosomal RNA
Rfam family: Bacterial small subunit ribosomal RNA
Source: RNAcentral